This 277-nucleotide ribosomal RNA is filed under the name uncultured prokaryote. RNAcentral's name for it is "partial 16S ribosomal RNA". It matches the Rfam family "Bacterial small subunit ribosomal RNA", at positions 524 to 800 of the family's 1533-position model. The record is from RNAcentral.
UACGUAGGGGGCAAGCGUUAUCCGGAAUUACUAGGCGUAAAGGGCAGGCAGGCGGAUCCAUAAGUUUAUCGUUUAAGGCGUCGGCUUAACCGGCGUAGGGCGGUAGAUACUGUGGAUCUGGAAUGCGGUUGGGGAAGACAGAAUUCCUGGUGUAGCGGUGGAAUGCGCAGAGAUCAGGAGGAAUACCGAAGGCGAAGGCAGUCUUCCAAGCCGUUAUUGACGCUCAACUGCGAAGGUGUGGGUAUCAAACAGGAUUAGAUACCCUGGUAGUCCCUGA